CCAUGCAUGUCUAAGUUCAAAUGGCCUAUAAAGGUGAAACCGCGAACGGCUCAUUACAACAGCUAUUAUAUACUUGAUCUUGAUCUCCUACGUGGAUAACUGUGGUAAUUCUAGAGCUAAUACAUGCACCAAAGCUCCGAAUUUCUG
RNAcentral lists this ribosomal RNA (147 nucleotides) under Ascaris lumbricoides (common roundworm). RNAcentral describes it as "partial 18S ribosomal RNA". It matches the Rfam family "Eukaryotic small subunit ribosomal RNA", at positions 49 to 193 of the family's 1831-position model. Lineage: Eukaryota; Metazoa; Nematoda; Chromadorea; Rhabditida; Ascarididae. The record is from RNAcentral.